This 498-nucleotide ribosomal RNA is filed under the name uncultured bacterium. RNAcentral's name for it is "partial 16S ribosomal RNA". It matches the Rfam family "Bacterial small subunit ribosomal RNA", at positions 28 to 523 of the family's 1533-position model. The record is from RNAcentral.
GAUGAACGCUAGCGGCAGGCCUAAUACAUGCAAGUCGGACGGGAUUGGAGAGCUUGCUUUCCAUGAGAGUGGCGCACGGGUGCGUAACACGUAUGUAACCUACCUUGUUCAGGGGGAUAGCCUCUCGAAAGAGAGAUUAAGACCGCAUAACAUUGCGAUGUGGCAUCACAUUGUAAUCAAAUAAUUAUAGGAAAAAGCUGGGCAUGCGGAACAUUAGCUAGUUGGUAAGGUAACGGCUUACCAAGGCUACGAUGUUUAGGGGAUCUGAGAGGAUGACCCCCCACACUGGUACUGAGACACGGACCAGACUCCGACGGCAGGCAGCAGUAAGGAAUAUUGGUAAAUGGGCGGAAGCCUGAACCAGCCAUGCCGAGUGCAGGAAGUCGGCCCUAUGGGUUGUAAACUGCUUUUGCAGGGGAAUAAACCUUGGUACGUGUACCAAGCUGAAUGUACUCUGAGAAUAAGGAUCGGCUAACUCCGUGCCAGCAGCCGCGGUAA